CACGCCGUAAACGAUGAGUACUAGGUGUAGGGGGUAUCGACCCCCCCUGUGCCGCAGUAAACACAAUAAGUACUCCGCCUGGGAAGUACGAUCGCAAGAUUAAAACUCAAAGGAAUUGACGGGGACCCGCACAAGCAGCGGAGCAUGUGGUUUAAUUCGAAGCAACGCGAAGAACCUUACCUGGACUUGACAUCCCCUGAAUUACGCGUAAUGGAGGAAGCCCUUCGGGGCAGGGAGACAGGUGG
Molecule: ribosomal RNA, 245 nt
Filed under: uncultured bacterium
Lineage: Bacteria
Description: partial 16S ribosomal RNA
Rfam family: Bacterial small subunit ribosomal RNA
Source: RNAcentral